CCAGUCGGCCCCCGGUGGGCCACAGUCGGCCCCCUGGUCAAGGUGACGGGCAGCGCGGGUCACCCGCUUACCGAGAAGGCGCCCGAGUGGCCUGGUGAUGGAUGGUCAGGUCGGGCCCUCCGACGUCACGGGCCUCGUAGUGCUUGGGCCAUUCGAGCAGGAGGAUGGAUUCUCCGGGCUUACGCUGCAGUUUUUAAGAGAAGAUGGUGUCAAGGAGAGGACACUGCUGAGAUUCAGGUGAAGGUGUCAAGACUUUCCAUGCGCCGUCUUCUGUGAGGUGGUGGCGAUGAGAUGUGUCUCACAGCAUGGUUGAGAGGAUUAGGACAACAUCUCUCAAGCUCUAGAGUUGUAAAUGGCAACUGUAGUCUCCCAUGAGAUGGCUCUGGAAUGUCAUUCACUAGCAUCGUAUGCCAAAAACCAGACCCUGGGAGCGCAGUCCUGAAGCAAACCCCGAAGGAUGGAGCUGGAAGGACUUUUAUUUGCUGAGGGUAACUUAGGGUACUUUCAUACCUGGCCUGGGCGCUGGGUCUUGGUCCCUCCCAUGUGAACGGAGGCGUGGCUAGAGGGGUGCUGGGGAGCCUAAGAAAGGAGGAUUCCUUGUGGUUACAGAUGCCCAGAAGGGGACCUGGUAGAAGUUACAUUCGAGUAACCUGAGAGGUGCGGCCUGCUAGUUUCUUUGGGAGAUGGGCAGUGGCAGGAGGGGACCCCCCAACACACAGGCGAGGGAGGGCGAGUGGGAUGUGUGC
This is a long non-coding RNA of Talpa occidentalis (Iberian mole), 746 nucleotides long. RefSeq lists it as uncharacterized. The transcript is spliced from 4 exons. NCBI's taxonomy places the organism in Eukaryota, Metazoa, Chordata, Mammalia, Eulipotyphla, Talpidae. The record is from RefSeq and is a predicted model, not a curated record.